Non-coding RNA from Caenorhabditis elegans, 90 nucleotides. The record is from Ensembl. NCBI's taxonomy places the organism in Eukaryota, Metazoa, Nematoda, Chromadorea, Rhabditida, Rhabditidae.
CGGAAGGCAGGCAAUGAUUUUGAAGAGAAUGAUGUUUCGAAGUUCACGGUAUCGAAUCAUGUAGAUCAUGAAGUUCACCAUAGUCUGAAA